GAAAGAUCUCCCAUGCUCAUGGAUUGGCAGGAUUAAUCUAGUAAAAAUGGCCAUUUUACCAAAAGCAAUCUACAGAUUCAAUGCAAUCCCCAUCAAAAUACCAAUCCAAUUCUUCAAAGAGUUAGACAGAACAAUUUGCAAAUUCAUCUGGAAUAACAAAAAACCCAGGAUAGCUAAAGCUAUCCUCAACAAUAAAAGGACUUCAGGGGGAAUCACUAUCCCUGAACUCAAGCAGUAUUACAGAGCAAUAGUGAUAAAAACUGCAUGGUAUUGGUACAGAGACAGACAGAUAGACCAAUGGAAUAGAAUUAAAGACCCAGAAAUG
Molecule: long non-coding RNA, 325 nt
Filed under: Rattus norvegicus (Norway rat)
Lineage: Eukaryota; Metazoa; Chordata; Mammalia; Rodentia; Muridae
Description: long non-coding RNA NONRATT002880
Source: RNAcentral